UGGCGAUGAUGAUAAAACUAAGGCUUGUUUCUCAAAACAUUCGCAGAUGCCGCCUAAGAGCUUUCGCCCUGCCAGGCUUGAGAGCUAAUGCUGCUAAUUCCUUCCUUGGAUGUCUGAGCCA
RNAcentral lists this small nucleolar RNA (121 nucleotides) under Triticum dicoccoides. Its description in RNAcentral is "snoRNA SNORD14". It matches the Rfam family "Small nucleolar RNA SNORD14". From Rfam's summary of the family: U14 small nucleolar RNA (U14 snoRNA) is required for early cleavages of eukaryotic precursor rRNAs. In yeasts, this molecule possess a stem-loop region (known as the Y-domain) which is essential for function. Lineage: Eukaryota; Viridiplantae; Streptophyta; Magnoliopsida; Poales; Poaceae. The record is from RNAcentral.